RNAcentral lists this ribosomal RNA (1125 nucleotides) under metagenome. RNAcentral's name for it is "bacterial LSU rRNA". It matches the Rfam family "Bacterial large subunit ribosomal RNA", at positions 1796 to 2925 of the family's 2925-position model. The record is from RNAcentral.
GCAACUGUUUACCAAAAACACAGGUUUGUGCUAAAUCGAAAGAUGACGUAUACGAGCUGACGCCUGCCCGGUGCUGGAAGGUUAAGAGGAGAUGUGCAAGCAUUGAAUCGAAGCCCCAGUGAACGGCGGCCGUAACUAUAACGGUCCUAAGGUAGCGAAAUUCCUUGUCAGGUAAGUUCUGACCCGCAUGAAAGGCGUAAUGAUUUGGGCACUGUCUCAACAGCCCGCCCGGCGAAAUUGUAGUACCGGUGAAGAUGCCGGUUACCCGCGACAAGACGGAAAGACCCCAUGGAGCUUUACUGUAGCCUAAUAUUGGGUUUCGAUGUUGCAUGCACAGGAUAGAUGGGACUCUGGGAAGUGAUCGCUUUGGCGGUCAUGGAGAGGACGUUGGGAUACCAUCCUUGCGAUAUUGGAAUUCUAACCUGCGGCUCUGAAUCGAGUCGGGGGACAUUGUUAGGUGGGCAGUUUGACUGGGGCGGUCGCCUCCUAAAGAGUAACGGAGGCGUUCAAAGGUUCGCUCAGCUUGAACGGAAAUCAAGCAAAAGAGUGCAAACGCAGAAGCGAGCCUAACUGCGAGACUGACGGGUCGAGCAGUAACGAAAGUUGGAGUUAGUGAUCCGGUGGUAUGUGAGUGGAAAUGCCAUCGCUCAACGGAUAAAAGUUACCCUGGGGAUAACAGGCUGAUCUCCCCCAAGAGUCCACAUCGACGGGGAGGUUUGGCACCUCGAUGUCGGCUCAUCGCAUCCUGGGGCUGUAGUCGGUCCCAAGGGUUGGGCUGUUCGCCCAUUAAAGCGGUACGCGAGCUGGGUUCAGAACGUCGUGAGACAGUUCGGUCCCUAUCUGUCGUGGGCGCAGGAUAUUUGAUGGGAGCUGUCCCUAGUACGAGAGGACCGGGACGGACGUACCUCUGGCGCACCAGUUGUUCCGCCAGGAGCAUAGCUGGGCAACUACGUACGGAUCGGAUAAACGCUGAAAGCAUCUAAGCGUGAAGCCGACCCAAAGAUAAGAUAUCCCACUGAUUUGAUCAGGUAAGAUCCCUUGAAGACUACAAGGUUGAUAGGCACGAUGUGUAAGUGGAGCGAUCCAUUCAGCAAGUGUGUACUAAUAGAUCGAGGGCUUGACCAC